UACGUUUAAUUUCACUGUGCA
Molecule: non-coding RNA, 21 nt
Filed under: Arabidopsis thaliana (thale cress)
Lineage: Eukaryota; Viridiplantae; Streptophyta; Magnoliopsida; Brassicales; Brassicaceae
Source: RNAcentral